Molecule: ribosomal RNA, 429 nt
Filed under: Gemmatimonadota bacterium
Lineage: Bacteria; Pseudomonadati; Gemmatimonadota
Description: Gemmatimonadetes bacterium partial 16S ribosomal RNA
Rfam family: Bacterial small subunit ribosomal RNA
Source: RNAcentral
UAGGGAAUCUUCGGCAAUGGACGAAAGUCUGACCGAGCAACGCCGCGUGAGUGAAGAAGGUUUUCGGAUCGUACAACUCUGUUGUUAGAGAAGAACAAGGACGUUAGUAACUGAACGUCCCCUGACGGUAUCUAACCAGAAAGCCACGGCUAACUACGUGCCAGCAGCCGCGGUAAUACGUAGGUGGCAAGCGUUGUCCGGAUUUAUUGGGCGUAAAGCGAGCGCAGGCGGUUUCUUAAGUCUGAUGUGAAAGCCCCCGGCUCAACCGGGGAGGGUCAUUGGAAACUGGGAGACUUGAGUGCAGAAGAGGAGAGUGGAAUUCCAUGUGUAGCGGUGAAAUGCGUAGAUAUAUGGAGGAACACCAGUGGCGAAGGCGGCUCUCUGGUCUGUAACUGACGCUGAGGCUCGAAAGCGUGGGGAGCAAACAGG